UACAGAGGGUGCGAGCGUUAAUCGGAGUUACUGGGCGUAAAGCGCGCGUAGGCGGCCCGGUAAGUCCGCUGUGAAAGUCAAAGGCUCAACCUUUGAAUGUCAGCGGAUACUGCCGGUCUAGAGUCCGGAAGAGGCGAGUGGAACUCCUGGUGUAGCGGUGGAAUGCGCAGAUAUCAGGAAGAACACCAACGGCGAAGGCAGCUCGCUGGGACGGAACUGACGCUAAGGCGCGAAAGCGUGGGGAGCGAACAGG
RNAcentral lists this ribosomal RNA (253 nucleotides) under uncultured bacterium. RNAcentral's name for it is "partial 16S ribosomal RNA". It matches the Rfam family "Bacterial small subunit ribosomal RNA", at positions 524 to 776 of the family's 1533-position model. The record is from RNAcentral.